AGUAACAGGGGCGAGUAGAAUGGUAGUCGGGCACACAAUCGAGGCUCCUCUCGGGAUCAACUCAGGAUUGUGAGAGGCAAAUUGGCUCAUCUCCAACUCAGCAAAGCUUUGAUCCCUGUUCGCCACCGCCUCACGAGCUCUUUGGCCUACAAGAAAGCAAUUAUCAAGGACACUCCCUCUUCAUCCCCGGAUUCUCUCGAGGAAUCCCUUGCUGCUGGGCCUGGUGAGGGAUUUUUGUUUCAGCACAUGCUCGGGAUCAACUCCGUUUGUAGGAACCAGGUGUUUCGAGUUGACGUAGGGCUGUCGAGUGGCUGUGCCAGCCAACACUGCUCCUGAAGUUUUGGAAAUCCGACACAGCACUGAUGUCUGGGUUCUCUUGAAAGAGAAGGAGAAGCAGAAGGCGCCACCGCAAGCAUCGCGUGGUUUAGCUUCGUUUUUAGAUCGAGUUUCCGAGAGUUUGAGGGCUGGUUUCAACGAUGCUGUGCUAGGAUGCUGUGCCAGGUAACCUGAUGCUGGCGUAGGAGCAGCACUUGGGGCUGCAGCUCAAAAUUGCAAAGCUGUGGAUUAUGAGGCAGAGAUUGAUCAUUACAUAGUUGUGAAAUUUAUAUAUAUCCAACUGUAGUCUGCAUUUCUAUUCUGCAUAAACUUCUAUACAAACUCAAUUAAAAAUAUAUAUAUAUAAUCAAACCUA
Molecule: long non-coding RNA, 691 nt
Organism: Selaginella moellendorffii
Lineage: Eukaryota; Viridiplantae; Streptophyta; Lycopodiopsida; Selaginellales; Selaginellaceae
Exons: 3
Source: RefSeq, a predicted model, not a curated record